RNAcentral lists this ribosomal RNA (266 nucleotides) under uncultured bacterium. RNAcentral's name for it is "partial 16S ribosomal RNA". It matches the Rfam family "Bacterial small subunit ribosomal RNA", at positions 123 to 406 of the family's 1533-position model. The record is from RNAcentral.
AAUCUGGCUUCAGGUUUGGGACAACCAUUGGAAACGAUGGCUAAUACCGAAUGUGCCGUAGGGUGAAAGAUUAAUUGCCUGAAGAUGAGCUCGCGUCUGAUUAGCUAGUUGGUGGGGUAAGGGCCUACCAAGGCGACGAUCAGUAACUGGUCUGAGAGGAUGACCAGUCACACUGGGACUGAGACACGGCCCAGACUCCUACGGGAGGCAGCAGUGGGGAAUUUUCCGCAAUGGGCGAAAGCCUGACGGAGCAAUACCGCGUGAGG